UACGUAGGGUGCAAGCGUUGUCCGGAAUUAUUGGGCGUAAAGGGCUCGUAGGCGGUUUGUCGCGUCGGGAGUGAAAUCCACUGGCUUAACUGGUGGCUUGCUUUCGAUACGGGCAGACUGGAGGUAUGCAGGGGAGAACGGAAUUCCUGGUGUAGCGGUGAAAUGCGCAGAUAUCAGGAGGAACACCAAUGGCGAAGGCAGCACUCUGGGACGUGACUGACGCUGAGACGCGAAAGCGUGGGGAGCAAACAGG
RNAcentral lists this ribosomal RNA (253 nucleotides) under uncultured bacterium. Its description in RNAcentral is "partial 16S ribosomal RNA". It matches the Rfam family "Bacterial small subunit ribosomal RNA", at positions 524 to 776 of the family's 1533-position model. The record is from RNAcentral.